Gallus gallus (chicken) is the source of this 1747-nucleotide long non-coding RNA. RefSeq lists it as uncharacterized. The record is from RefSeq and is a predicted model, not a curated record. Lineage: Eukaryota; Metazoa; Chordata; Aves; Galliformes; Phasianidae. The transcript is spliced from 8 exons.
AGUCAGAUAUAGCCUCAGCAUCCAACCUGAAUAAACCUCACCUGAAUAAACCUCACAGCCAUAAUCCAGCUGUAAAUAUGACAGGGCAAAAAUAGUAGGUGCAGAUGCUGCUUACACAUUAUGAGCCAGGCUCCUAAAAGGGCACGGCAUGAAGAUAGAUUAUCUUCUCCAGAAGAAGCUGGGUGCAGCCGUCACCGGGACAUUAGAGAAUUUCCUGCGGGAAUUAACGGACCGAGAAGGAGACAAAGAGGAGAAAAGUGCAGAAUGAGAACUGCGCUCAUAACAUACAGGAAGACUCAAAGCUUUUCAAGAUGCUAAAAAUUCAACACAACGCUUGAGAGUUAAGGUCCUGAAACUGGUGUUUAAAAGUAGUUUGCAGUCUUGUUUCCACAAAACAACUGCUACAAAAUGGAUGAAAUAAAAUAAGCUACAUCCACAUGCUUUCAGGGAGUAGGCAAUGAUGUUUGGAGCAUGCUGGCAGCUGCUGUGAGUCAACUCUGAGGUGCACAGCUCUCUCCACCCAGUGAGAGGAAGCCCAGAUUGGACCAGCAAAGUGGUGUGAACCUUCCUGUUUGUGUCAAACUGUACUGUCAGUGCAUAUAUUGACUUCACCGAAGUAGUUUGGGCUUUCCACCACUGAUGAGACCUUGGUGUCCUAUGAGUUUUUUGCAAUUGAAUUUCUAGAUGUAUUUCAGCUCUGGUAAUGAUUGUACAGCGUCGUGUCCAUGAACUUCCAGUGUUCGCAUUAAAAUCUGACAGAACAUCAGAGUGCCAGAAGCUUCUCAUGUUGUGGCUCUGGAGAUAUGUGAUUUCUUCAUUAAAUGGGGAGCCAGCUGAUAACGAGUGAUAAAUAGGAUGAGAAGAGGACUUGGAAACAUAAAGGUCUGAGUAACACAGUGUCCAAAACGGAGCUAAAAGAAAACAGGCUACAGAAGAAAGAUAAAGAAGGCAGGUUGGUUUUGAUUCUGAAGAUAGAACCAUUCAGAUGCCUAAACAACGUAAGAUGAGCAAAGCAAAGCAACGGGAAGAAUUAAAGAACUAAACAAGCACAAAAUGAGAUCAUUACGGACACAAGACAACACACAGCUGCACUAAGUAGUAAAGGUCCCCUCUAACCCCAUACCCUUAUGCCAGCAGAAUACAAAACCAGUUACCAAGGCAGGAUUCUACAAGCAGGUUAAAAGAGUUCCUCACUGACCCCGUCCCACCCACAUCCUCUCUGAUCCUUCAAAAGUCCAUGGAGUCACACAGUCUAGAAGAGUAUGAAUCAUAGGAUGACAUGGGUUGGAACGGACCUCAAGGAUCAUUGAGUUCCAACCCCCCUGCUGCAGGCAGGGCUGCCAACCACUAGAUCAAGUACUGGAUCAGACUGCCCAGAGCCCCAACCAACCUGGCCUUGAAUACCUCCAGGGAUGAGACAUCCACAACCUCUCUGGGCAGCCUUUUCCAUUCUCUCAGUAAAAAACUGCCCUGGCAUCUCAUCUAAAUCUCCCUUCCUUUAGUCUAAAACCAUUCCCCCAUCCUGUUGCUAUCUUUUAUACGAAGUUGUUCCCUCCUGUUUAUAAACUCCCUUUAAAUACUGAAAGGCCAGUUUCAAUUCAGACACACAGGUGAUUGAUUAGCACUUCAAAUUAAGCAACAAAUCCUACAGAACUUUUUCAAAUGUUAAAGAGCAUAGUAUGUGCUUAAGAGUGUAAUGCAUGACUUUUUAAGCUGCCCAGUAAUAAAAACAGAAUCAUUACAGCAA